RNAcentral lists this ribosomal RNA (437 nucleotides) under uncultured fungus. RNAcentral describes it as "eukaryotic LSU rRNA". It matches the Rfam family "Eukaryotic large subunit ribosomal RNA", at positions 1 to 432 of the family's 3401-position model. Lineage: Eukaryota; Fungi. The record is from RNAcentral.
GACCUCAAAUCAGGUAGGACUACCCGCUGAACUUAAGCAUAUCAAUAAGCGGAGGAAAAGAAACUAACAAGGAUUCCCCUAGUAACUGCGAGUGAAGAGGGAAAAGCUCAAAUUUAAAAUCUGUCAGUCUUUGGCUGACCGAGUUGUAAAUUAGAGAAGUGCUAUCUGCGCUGGCCUGUGCAAAAGUCUCUUGGAAAAGAGCAUCAUAGAGGGUGACAAUCCCGUCUUUGGUACAGAGCUCCAGGGCUUCAUGAUGUGCUCUCAAUGAGUCGAGUUGUUUGGGAAUGCAGCUCUAAAUGGGUGGUAAAUUCCAUCUAAAGCUAAAUAUUGGCGAGAAACCGAUAGCGCACAAGUACCGUGAGGGAAAGAUGAAAAGAACUUUGAAAAGAGAGUUAAACAGUACGUGAAAUUGUUGAAAGGGAAACGCUUGAAGUCAG